This 243-nucleotide ribosomal RNA is filed under the name uncultured bacterium. RNAcentral describes it as "partial 16S ribosomal RNA". It matches the Rfam family "Bacterial small subunit ribosomal RNA", at positions 527 to 769 of the family's 1533-position model. The record is from RNAcentral.
GUAGGGGGCAAGCGUUAUCCGGAUUUACUGGGUGUAAAGGGAGCGCAGGCGGUGCGGCAAGUCUGAUGUGAAAGCCCGGGGCUCAACCCCGGGACUGCAUUGGAAACUGUCGCGCUCGAGUGUCGGAGGGGUAAGUGGAAUUCCUAGUGUAGCGGUGAAAUGCGUAGAUAUUAGGAGGAACACCGGUGGCGAAGGCGGCUUACUGGACGACAACUGACGCUGAGGCUCGAAAGCGUGGGGAGC